UUAAAACAAUAUAAGAUUGUUUCCUUGGUUUUCAAAAUCAUGACUUAAUAUAAAAUGAUAAUUAAUGCUAAUUCGGUUCAAUUUUUGGAGAACAAAGACAGUGAAUUUCAAAAAAAUGAGAACGAUGGUACAAAUGAAAAAAAUGUGAGGAUAUAUGCAGAUGGCAUAUAUGACCUAUUACAUUUAGGUCAUAUGAAACAACUUCAACAAGCGAAACACUUAGAAAAAAAAAGUUACAUUAAUUGUUGGGGUUUGUAGUGAUAUAGAUACUAGAAAAUUCAAAGGACAGAUAGUACAAACAUUAGAAGAAAGAACUGAAACGUUAAAACAUAUUAGAUGGGUUGAUGAAAUCAUUUCACCUUGUCCAUGGGUAAUAACACCAGAAUUUGUUGAAAAAAUAUAACAUAGAUUAUGUAGCUCAUGAUGAUAUACCAUAUGCUAGUAAUCAAAAAAAUUCUAAUAAAAAAAAAAAAAAAAUAAUAAAAAUAAUUCA
RNAcentral lists this long non-coding RNA (493 nucleotides) under Piliocolobus tephrosceles (Ugandan red Colobus). RNAcentral's name for it is "lncRNA (ENSPTEG00000001898.1)". Lineage: Eukaryota; Metazoa; Chordata; Mammalia; Primates; Cercopithecidae. The record is from RNAcentral.